This 74-nucleotide transfer RNA is filed under the name Acidobacteriota bacterium. RNAcentral describes it as "tRNA-Gln". It matches the Rfam family "tRNA". From Rfam's summary of the family: Transfer RNA (tRNA) molecules are approximately 80 nucleotides in length. Their secondary structure includes four short double-helical elements and three loops (D, anti-codon, and T loops). Lineage: Bacteria; Pseudomonadati; Acidobacteriota. The record is from RNAcentral.
UCCGGGAUGGUGUAAUGGCAGCACGCCUGACUCUGGAUCAGGAAAUUGGGGUUCGAGUCCCUGUCCCGGAGCCA